This 610-nucleotide long non-coding RNA is filed under the name Daphnia pulicaria. RNAcentral describes it as "uncharacterized LOC124313636". The record is from RNAcentral. Lineage: Eukaryota; Metazoa; Arthropoda; Branchiopoda; Diplostraca; Daphniidae.
UUUGCGUUUGUUUUGUUCAUGUGUUGUUCAUGGCUUUGUUUCACCAUGGUUUCACAAGUCACAACCAGGCUUUUCAGCUGUCAAAUUUUACCAGAUGAUGUGAGGAGAGGAUGUCGAUAACUCGAUAAUGCCCAGUGUUGAAGAAGAAACUUAGAUGAUCUGCUGCAUGCAGUCCAUCGUGCUGGUGUGGUGAGCUGCUUCUGUCCAGUCUGUGAUGCUGGUGUUAUUAUCCUGCAUUGUUGGCCCUAGAUUGCUGACACAAUUGUGGAUUGUGGUGUUCGUGAUGGAAAUGAAGACUAUAGAUGCACAUGCUGUAAAAUGAAAAAGGUGUAAUAUUUAAUUAUCUAGAUAAUUGUUAUGGUGUGGUUGAAAUAAUACCAGUUCGAGUCACUCGUUAUGUAUGGGUAGAAUGUGUGUGUCCAUUUGGGAUUUGUUGCUGUUGCAGAUGUUUUCUGUUUAUAGACUCAAACAUGUUUUAAGUAUAUUUUCCUUCAUAAAUAGUAUUGCCAACUGAUAUCAUGGAAUCGAAAUUUUUGUCCAUGUAAUUGUGUUUGGUUUCACGCUGGGUUUGCUUAGUUAGUGAUAUAAAAAUAAAUAACAUGAAUAUUAA